Gadus morhua (Atlantic cod) is the source of this 198-nucleotide long non-coding RNA. RefSeq lists it as uncharacterized. The transcript is spliced from 2 exons. The record is from RefSeq and is a predicted model, not a curated record. NCBI's taxonomy places the organism in Eukaryota, Metazoa, Chordata, Actinopteri, Gadiformes, Gadidae.
GAAACCAGCUUCGUUAUCCACCAGAUUCUCAGAAACCUUCACCCCUCUGUAGAACACUGACACCCUGAACUGUGUCUCUGGAGACACACACACACACACACACACACACACACACACACACACACACACACACACACACACACACACACACACACACACACACACACACACACACACACACACACACACACACACACA